Molecule: ribosomal RNA, 327 nt
Filed under: uncultured eukaryote
Lineage: Eukaryota
Description: partial 18S ribosomal RNA
Rfam family: Eukaryotic small subunit ribosomal RNA
Source: RNAcentral
CCCUUAGAUGUUCUGGGCCGCACGCGCGCUACACUGAUGAAUGCAACGAGCUCUACCCUUGACCGAAAGGCCCGGGUAAACUUGUGAAGCUUCAUCGUGAUGGGGAUAGAUUAUUGCAAUUAUUAAUCUUCAACGAGGAAUUCCUAGUAAGCGCGAGUCAUCAGCUCGCGUUGAUUACGUCCCUGCCCUUUGUACACACCGCCCGUCGCUCCUACCGAUUGAAUGGUCCGGUGAAAUCUUCGGAUUGCUGACCAAGAUCCAGCAAUGGAGCUUGGUUGCGAGAAGUUGAUUAAACCUUAUUAUUUAGAGGAAGGAGAAGUCGUAACA